AGGGUGACAGGUGGUGCGAUGGUUGUCGUCAGCUCGUGUCGUGAGAUGUUGGUUAAGUCCCGCAACGAGCGCAACCCCUAUUGUUAGUUGCCAUCAUUCAGUUGGGCACUCUAGCGAGACUGCCGGUAAUAAACCGGAGGAAGGUGGGGAUGACGUCAAAUCAUCAUGCCCCUUAUGACCUGGGCUACACACGUGCUACAAUGGUUGGUACAACGAGUUGCGAGUCGGUGACGGCGAGCUAAUCUCUUAAAGCCAAUCUCAGUUCGGAUUGUAGGCUGCAACUCGCCUACAUGAAGUCGGAAUCGCUAGUAAUCGCGGAUCAGCACGCCGCGGUGAAUACGUUCCCGGGCCUU
Molecule: ribosomal RNA, 353 nt
Filed under: uncultured Streptococcus sp.
Lineage: Bacteria; Bacillati; Bacillota; Bacilli; Lactobacillales; Streptococcaceae
Description: bacterial SSU rRNA
Rfam family: Bacterial small subunit ribosomal RNA
Source: RNAcentral